RNAcentral lists this ribosomal RNA (496 nucleotides) under uncultured bacterium. Its description in RNAcentral is "partial 16S ribosomal RNA". It matches the Rfam family "Bacterial small subunit ribosomal RNA", at positions 29 to 507 of the family's 1533-position model. The record is from RNAcentral.
AUGAACGCUGGCGGCGUGCCUAAUACAUGCCAGUCGAGCGAACAGAUGAGGAGCUUGCUCCUCUGACGUUAGCGGCGGACGGGUGAGUAACACGUGGAUAACCUACCUAUAAGACUGGGAUAACUUCGGGAAACCGGAGCUAAUACCGGAUAAUAUAUUGAACCGCAUGGUUCAAUAGUGAAAGACGGUUUUGCUGUCACUUAUAGAUGGAUCCGCGCCGCAUUAGCUAGUUGGUAAGGCAACGGCUUACCAAGGCAACGAUGCGUAGCCGACCUGAGAGGGUGAUCGGCCACACUGGAACUGAGACACGGUCCAGACUCCUACGGGAGGCAGCAGUAGGGAAUCUUCCGCAAUGGGCGAAAGCCUGACGGAGCAACGCCGCGUGAGUGAUGAAGGUCUUCGGAUCGUAAAACUCUGUUAUUAGGGAAGAACAAAUGUGUAAGUAACUAUGCACGUCUUGACGGUACCUAAUCAGAAAGCCACGGCUAACUACGUG